This 106-nucleotide small nuclear RNA is filed under the name Moschus moschiferus (Siberian musk deer). Lineage: Eukaryota; Metazoa; Chordata; Mammalia; Artiodactyla; Moschidae. The record is from RNAcentral.
GUGCUCACUGUGGCAGCACAUACACUUAAACUGGAAUGAUACAAAGAAGAUUAGCAUGGCCCCUGCUCAAGGAUGACAUGCAAACUGGGGAACAUUUCAUGUUUUU